AGUGAACGCUGGCGGUAGGCCUAACACAUGCAAGUCGAACGGCAGCACAGUAAGAGCUUGCUCUUACGGGUGGCGAGUGGCGGACGGGUGAGGAAUACAUCGGAAUCUACUUUUUCGUGGGGGAUCACGUAGGGAAACUUACGCUAAUACCGCAUACGACCUACGGGUGAAAGCAGGGGAUCUUCGGACCUUGCGCGAUUGAAUGAGCCGAUGUCGGAUUAGCUGGUUGGCGGGGUAAAGGCCCACCAAGUCGGCGAUCCGUAGCUGGUCUGAGAGGAGGAUCGGCCACACUGGAACGGAGACACGGUCCAUACUCCUACGGGAGGCAGCAGUGGGGAAUAUUGGACAAUGGGCGCAAGCCUGAUCCAGCCAUACCGCGUGGGUGAAGAAGGCCUUCGGGUUGUAAAGCCCUUUUGUGGGGAAAGAAAAGCAGCAGGUUAAUACCCCGCUGUACCGACGGUACCCAAUGAAGAAGCACCGGCUAACUUCGUG
This 492-nucleotide ribosomal RNA is filed under the name uncultured bacterium. RNAcentral's name for it is "partial 16S ribosomal RNA". It matches the Rfam family "Bacterial small subunit ribosomal RNA", at positions 29 to 507 of the family's 1533-position model. The record is from RNAcentral.